UACAGAGGUCUCGAGCGUUAGGCGGAAUCACUGGGCUUAAAGCGUGUGUAGGCGGAUCGUUAAGUGCCUUGUGAAAUCCCACGGCUCAACCGUGGAACUGCUUGGCAUACUGGCGGUCUUGAGCAACCUAGGGGCGAGCGGAACAAAUGGUGGAGCGGUGAAAUGCGUAGAUAUCAUUUGGAACGCCAAUGGUGAAAACAGCUCGCUGGGGGUUUGCUGACGCUGAGACACGAAAGCGUGGGGAGCGAACAGG
This 253-nucleotide ribosomal RNA is filed under the name uncultured bacterium. RNAcentral describes it as "partial 16S ribosomal RNA". It matches the Rfam family "Bacterial small subunit ribosomal RNA", at positions 524 to 776 of the family's 1533-position model. The record is from RNAcentral.